CGUCAGUGCUGGGAGGGGCGGUGGUGACGCAGAUACCAGCACCACCUCCGCCGGGCCGGGCCCCACGCCGGCGGCGGAUUGGCUCCCUCCGAGGGCACGCACGCCCGGGGACUCGUUGGCGGCGUGGAGGGGCGCCGGUGGCCACGUUGGUAUCAACCUCCUUCGUGAAGCUCACACCUCCCCCGCCCCGGGAGGGGUUUGCCCGCCACUGUCGCUGAAUGAUUGCAUCAUCGAAAGCAGAAAACCACUUUUGCAUCCAUCGGCCUCUGGCGUGCCUGCCAUGACAUCAUAGCUCUGCGGAGGUGGAAGUUGGGGAGCUUUGAGGUAACUGGAUUCUUGAUCUGAGCGCAGACGUCCUUCCUAACCUCACUGCAUUUGGAGGACCUGGAGGCAGGGUGGGUGAAGGGCAAGGAAAGAGGCAGGACGAGAGCUUGGCCGCGGUGGCGUCUGAGGGGCCUGAAUGUUUCAAGGCCAGAGCCUGGCGAUCAGGUGGCUCGCUUAGUCCUAAACCAGUCAUCCUUCUCCAGCCCUCCUCUGUAAAAUGGAAACUCUGUCCCCUUGCUUGUCUUAGGACCUCAUGGAUCCCAGGGGGACCAAGAGAGAAGCUGAGAAGACAGAGGUAGCUGAGCCUCGGAACAAACUACCUCGUCCAGCACCUUCUCUGCCCACAGACCCUGCCCUCUACUCUGGGCCCUUUCCUUUCUACCGGCGCCCUUCGGAACUGGGCUGCUUCUCCCUGGAUGCUCAACGCCAGUACCAUGGAGAUGCCCGAGCCCUGCGCUACUAUAGCCCACCCCCCACUAACGGUCCAGGCCCCAACUUUGACCUCAGAGACGGAUACCCGGAUCGAUACCAGCCCCGGGACGAGGAGGUCCAAGAAAGGCUGGACCACCUGCUGUGCUGGCUUCUGGAACACCGAGGCCGGUUGGAGGGGUGAGCAAAGUGUGGCAGGCAGUAUAUCUGGAGACCCGUACCUACCCUCUAAAAUUAGGAGAGCCAAAGCCGGGGUGAGAAUCAGUCCUUAGAAGAAACAAGACUAUUCUUCGAGGGGAGCAUCUCAUUAAUGCUUGUGUCAGACCUUCAGCCUGUAACUCCUGCCUCUCAGGGGUCCAGGCUGGCUGGCAGAGGCCAUAGUGACGUGGCGGGGGCACCUCACAAAACUGCUGACGACACCGUAUGAGCGGCAGGAGGGCUGGCAGCUGGCAGCCUCCCGGUUCCAGGGAACACUAUACCUAAGUGAAGUGGAGACGCCAAACGCUCGGGCCCAGAGGCUUGCUCGGCCACCGCUCCUCCGGGAGCUUAUGUACAUGGGAUACAAAUUUGAGCAGUACAUGUGUGCAGGUGAGUUGCCCCUGCUUCAUAGCCCCCUUCCCCUUCCCAGAGAUUGAGAGCCACCCACCCCUGCUGCUGCUUCUCUCCUUGUGCAGACAAACCUGGAAGCUCCCCAGACCCCUCUGGGGAGGUUAACACCAACGUGGCCUUCUGCUCUGUGCUACGCAGCCGCCUGGGAAGCCACCCUCUGCUCUUCUCAGGGGAGGUAGACUGCACAGACCCCCAGGCCCCAUCCACACAGCCCCCAACCUGCUAUGUGGAGCUCAAGACCUCCAAGGAGAUGCACAGCCCUGGCCAAUGGAGGAGUUUCUACAGACACAAGCUCCUGAAAUGGUGGGCUCAGUCAUUCCUCCCAGGGGUCCCGAAUGUUGUUGCUGGCUUCCGUAACCCAGAGGGUUUUGUCUCUUCCCUCGAGACCUUUCCUACCAUGAAGAUGUUUGAAUAUGUCAGGAAUGACCGUGACGGCUGGAAUCCCUCUGUGUGCAUGAACUUCUGUGCCGCCUUCCUUAGCUUUGCCCAGAGCACGGUUGUCCAGGAUGACCCCAGGCUCGUUCACCUCUUCUCUUGGGAGCCUGGUGGCCCAGUCACCGUGUCUGUACACCGAGAUGCACCUUAUGCCUUCCUGCCCAUAUGGUAUGUGGAAGCUAUGACUCAGGACCUCCCAUCACCCCCCAAGACUCCCUCCCCUAAAUAGUAAUGCUUUAGAGGGAGGCAGUCAUAUCUCUAUGUGCAGAUAAUAAAAGCUUAUUUUUAAGAGGUUC
RNAcentral lists this small RNA (2093 nucleotides) under Pongo abelii (Sumatran orangutan). Its description in RNAcentral is "retained intron". The record is from RNAcentral. Lineage: Eukaryota; Metazoa; Chordata; Mammalia; Primates; Hominidae.